UUUAAGCAUCUUAUUUAUUGACUUUAAUUAUUUAUUUUGAUUUAAUAUUCAUUGCUAUAAACAAACAACUUUGUGUUUAUAUUCCAGUGACCCUAGUUUGGAAUCUGAUUCAUUCCUGAAUAGCUACCUUGAUAUGGACUCAGUAAAGGGAAGAAUUUAAAGAUGCUGUGGGAGACAGAGAUCGUAGAGUAAGUGCUUCUCAUGUGCCAGAUGCUCGAGUUCUCUGCCAGCCCUUGCUCUCAGAUGAAUAAGUGCUAGCAAGUAACUCCUGCACCAGGUGACAUGAAGGUACCGUCAUA
This 299-nucleotide long non-coding RNA is filed under the name Oryctolagus cuniculus (rabbit). RNAcentral's name for it is "lncRNA (ENSOCUG00000038079.1)". Lineage: Eukaryota; Metazoa; Chordata; Mammalia; Lagomorpha; Leporidae. The record is from RNAcentral.